Non-coding RNA from Epinephelus lanceolatus (giant grouper), 3915 nucleotides. The record is from RefSeq and is a predicted model, not a curated record. NCBI's taxonomy places the organism in Eukaryota, Metazoa, Chordata, Actinopteri, Perciformes, Serranidae.
GGUCACAGCUUCUCUGUUUUCACUCUGCCGUGGAGCUGAUCAUACUGAAAGGAUCCGUCUUUAUUCUGUCUGCGCUGCUUUGUUAUAUUAAACAAACGUUUCUGUUCACAUCGUUCAAAGUGUUCAGGACAGUUUAACUUUAAGCAUCAGCCCGGAGCUCCUGCUUUUAUUCUGGCGGGCUCCGGUGUUAGCUCGUCCCGUUAGCCGCUGCUCCGCUGCUCGGUGGACAGUGAUGACCGCUGAGACACUUUUUCUUUCUGCGCAUUUCGACUGUUGAUUAAAACCGGAGAGCCUCCGUUCAUCAUGGCGAGUGAAAACACCGAGACCAACGCGGGGAACGAGGAGGAAACUGGUCCUCCAUCCGAGACUAACGAGCACGACUAUGCCCACACCGAGGCCACUAACUUAACUUCCACGGAAGCAUCCUCCCCCUCGGGAGCACCGGCGGCGGACGAAGGAGUCUCCGCGCAGGAAAGCUUCACCACAGCAGCCGAACCUGAACCUGAGCCCGAGCACAGCACACCGGGGCAGCCCACCCUGCCGGUGGAGCUUCCCGAUCCGGCUGUGGGUGCGGAGGUGGACUGCCCCGGCGGGCAUGAUGUGGUGGUGUCUUUUCCGCCGCAGACCGAGGAAAACCCUCCAAAGGCAGACCCCUCUCAGUAUGCUACAGCCGUCGCCCCCGCUAUGCGAGGCGGCCGGCGGCGUCCCAAGCGGCCCGAGGACCGGAGCUGCUCCGCCUGUAAGUCUGAGUUCGAGCGGCAGGGCCGCAGCUUCAACCGGAGGGCGGUGUACACCUUCUCCAGCCCGGAGACUGUGCAGUGGGCCUUCCCGGACGCCGUAGUACACGAAAAGUCGUUCCUGUGUGAGACCUGUGCGCAGGUCAUCAGGAGCAAAUGCAAACGCAAACAGAGCGGGAAGCGGACCCUGUGGCUGAAACCGCCCCAGACUAAACAGGCAGAGUUGAGAGACAAGAAGCUGAAAGGUCGCAGGAUGGGGAAGAAGAGCAAAGCAGCUCAGCUGGUGAGCAAGUCCUGCUACAAGGCCGCUUUCAAAAUGCUCUGGUCUGCUAAAGGUGCCCGGAAGCCCAUGAUGGAGUUCUGGAGCAAACAACUGAAAGAGGAGAUGAAGGCGCUGACACGGCAGACAGACAAUCCCUUCCAUCAGAAGGUGGUGAGCAGAAAGCCACUGUCAUCCUUUCCCUGGCGGCGCUGUCUGAACUGGGCCCAGGACCACGCUCCUCUUGUCACCACCUGCCUCACCUCGCUGUUCCCUGACAUCAGUUCUCUUUCAAAGAGUGGCCACCCGCUGUCGGAGGACCAAGCCCAGGCGUUGCUGGAGCGCAGGGCCGUGGUGGCGCUCUCCAUCCCUCUCUUCACCAGGAACAUCUGGAAGAACAACUUCCUGCAGGCAGCUCUGGGGGCAGAGCUCCGGCUGCAGGGCUGCUCUGGUGCUGCUCUUGACGCCCUCAACACUAUGGGGCUGUGUCAGAACAAAGACACCGUCAGGUUGCUGCUGCACAGGCUCCGAAACAGCAAGAAGACGGCAACACAGAACGGACGACAGAUGAAGAUGAAACCGGAGCAGAUGAAAGGAGAGGAUAUGACAGACGUGGAGGAAGAAGAUAUCGAGGAGGAGGACGAAGAGGAGGAGGAGGAGGAGGAAGAGGAGGAAGAAGAAGAGGAAGAGGAGGAUGACGAUGACGACGAAGAAGAGGAGGAGGAGGAAAUGGAAAUGGUGGUAGAGGAGGAAGAAGUGCAAGAGGUAGAAGUGCAGGUUGGAGUGGAUGAGGAGGAAGCGGAGGAUCAAUCAGUGGAGGAGAAGAAGAGGAGGAGGAAGAAGGCGAAGAAGCAGAGGAAGGAGGAGAAGAGGAAGGAGCGAGGGAAACGAAAGGUGAAGGAGAGGGAGGAGGUGGACGAGGAGGAGGAUGACGGGUCAGAGCAGAAGAAGAGGAGGGUGGUGGUGGUGAGGCUCGGCCUGCUGAAGGGACACUCGGAGGUUGGACGGUCCGACCUGUCGGCUCCUUAAGACUCUGAAGGCUCCGCCCAAGAACUCCACAGGCCCCACCUUCAACCAGAGAGCAGGACAGAGGUCCCGCCCUUUUCGCUGGGGGAUGUUGAGAGGGAUUCUGGGUAUCGUAGCUUUCAGUUUUGGGUUCCUCGGCAGGACUCUGACACAAAGUAAAGAAACAGAAAACGGUUUGAUUUUCAUUCUGAACACUGUGGACGUCCUGAACUGUGGAGGAUGUUUAUAGACUGAAGAUGUGCAUUUCUAUGUUUGAAACGGUUAAAGCGGAGCGGAGGCACACCUGAGAAAAGGACCUGGACUUAAUCGCUUUGUUUUUUUUUUUGUUUUUUUUUAUUGUUUGUUUGUUGGCUGUAGUGAACCCAUCAGAACAGAGUCAUGGCUUCAGUAGGCUCAUCUGACGCACGCCGAGGCCUUUAUGCUGCGUUCACGUCAAGUUUCUGUGAUUACAGUUGGUCAUGUGAGGGUUAAAAAUACUGUCCGUUGACAAUAUCAAACUAUAAACAUUAAAUAAAACAGACUUUGACUGACGAUAGGUGUCCAUGUAAGUUUGGCUUUCAGACACUUGCAAAUUAUUAAGCACCUGCUAUAUCAAAGAUUUCAGAAAAAUCAGUUUUCUAGUCAUCAUGAUCCAGACGUUCACUUUAAUGCUUUUUACAAGUAAUACAACUGUUAAUUACAAUAACAGUAACAGUAGUGUGGAGAAACAAAUAGAUACGACUCAUUUGUGAACUCUGAGGAAAAUUGUGAACUAUCUGAGAUAAAUCUUGUCAAAAAUCUGAUUUAAAAAAUGACUAAAAUCAGACUUUCCUUGGAAUUCAGAAACUGAAUGUUUUCUUUGUAGUGCUUUAUUUUAUAGUCUGUAAUUUCCCUAAUAAUUUAACUGAAAUGACUGUAAUGUAAUGUGGUAUAAUUACAGUGAAAACAGUGUUUAAUUUAACCCUUUGAAACCCCUUUAAAAAACAUGGGUAAAAGGCAAUGAAAGAAAAAAUUAGCGAAAAAAUUAGCAAGACAUACCGUAAGUAAAAAGAGAAAAUUAAGAAAAUUAGUAAAAAAAUAAAUAAAAUAAAAAAAGUUAAAGAAAAGUAAAAAAAAAAAAAAGUGUAAAAAGUGCUUAAAAUUUUAAUAAUUUUGCAUUAUGAUGUUAAAAACUAUAAAUCUAGUUUUUCCCUAGUUUGUCUUUUUAAAUAAUUUUCUAUCUUUUUUUUUCUUUCUUUUUUACAAUUUGUGGGAGAUUUCUUACCAAGUUGCUCAUUGCCUUUUUUCCCAUGUUUUUUUUUUUUUUUUUUUUUUUUUUUUACUGCAGCAAUUUGCAAAAGGUUCAAAACUUAAAAUACUUGUGAAGGUGUCUGAAAUCAGCACAAGACAAGUGAUGUCGCUCCAGGUUUCAAAGGCUUAAAUACUUUGAAUCCUGGCUCAUGUAUCAAUGUCAGCCGGACAUGGGAGAAGAACAUGGAAGUGAAACUUGUCUACAGACGUAUGGAGAUAAAAGUCUCCACUUUUGUCCUAUAAUUAGAACCAGAUUACAAAGUUCCUUCUGAGAAAUUAUCAGGAAAUUAAGGAGCCCUUAAAAUAAAGUGUUAAAUGAUCCUUUUCUGUGGUUUGAAUAAUUCCACCAUCUGUAAAAACGCAGCCAUACGUUUCUCUCCUGGUUAGAAAAAGAUGAAAUGGAAGUUUCUGAACUGGGAGGUGCUGUAAUAUAGUUUUGAUUUGUAACAAGGGUUUGUUCUUUGAGUCUCUCAAAGCGUCUUAUUUUUUUAUGUGUUUGAUUGGAGGAGGAUGGAGAGAUGUGUUUUCUGACUGUUGGUCUCAGAUCUGAUGUUCAACCAGUUGAACCAGUCUGACGCAAAACUUCCUGUAAAAGUUUGCCAAUAAAACAUUUAAGGCUUCAAC